GGCAUUGCCCGGUAGCUAAAUGCGGAAGAGAUAAGUGCUGAAAGCAUCGAAGCACGAAACUUGCCCCGAGAUGAGUUCUCCCUGACCCUUUAAGGGUCCUGAAGGAACGUUGAAGACGACGACGUUGAUAGGCCGGGUGUGUAAGCGCAGCGAUGCGUUGAGCUAACCGGUACUAAUGAACCGUGAGGCUUAACCUUAC
This 199-nucleotide ribosomal RNA is filed under the name Klebsiella michiganensis. Its description in RNAcentral is "partial 23S ribosomal RNA". It matches the Rfam family "Bacterial large subunit ribosomal RNA", at positions 2734 to 2925 of the family's 2925-position model. The record is from RNAcentral. Lineage: Bacteria; Pseudomonadati; Pseudomonadota; Gammaproteobacteria; Enterobacterales; Enterobacteriaceae.